ACCUCAUCCAGAGGGGCUGAGGGAUACGGCCCGACGACGCCCCGGCAACCACCCGCACGCUCGACGCCGAGCGCCCUGCGGGCAGGUGCCAAUUCCGUCCCCGCCGCACCCGGCGAUGCGGGGAAAGAUGAGAG
RNAcentral lists this non-coding RNA (134 nucleotides) under Micromonospora humi. RNAcentral describes it as "SAM-I sequence". It matches the Rfam family "SAM riboswitch aptamer (S box leader)". Rfam says of the family: The SAM riboswitch is found upstream of a number of genes which code for proteins involved in methionine or cysteine biosynthesis in Gram-positive bacteria. The record is from RNAcentral. Lineage: Bacteria; Bacillati; Actinomycetota; Actinomycetes; Micromonosporales; Micromonosporaceae.